AGCAAAGUGAAAAUGCUCACGAGUUUAAUCACUUCCAUACCGCACCGGGGGUUAGUAUGAAGGUGAGCAAAAUAGGGCCGAUGCCGUCGGGACCGACAAAAUCACCAAAUUUGCUCACUAGAAAGGGGCGAGAGCAAACAUGCACUGAAAAAAUUCUACCGUUUUGAACAGAAUUAAACAAACGAUGUCGCAGCGUGUAGAUGUUUGUUGAUAUUUAUUUUAAGAAAAAAAUUGUAUCAGCUUAAAAUUGUGGAUGGUUUUUCUUGUAAUAACUGCAGUUAAAUUCGCAAUUUCGUUACAUUUUUUCGGGGUUUUCCAGGAAUUGAACGAGAAAGUGUAAAUGCUGGUUCUGAUGAUAAACAAACUUGAAGCAUCGUAAUUUGUGACCAAAAAUGGUCACUCGGAGUUUCUCGGAGUAAUAAUAAUCGAGACCAGUGCGCUGUGCAGGAUUUUUGUAUCCAACCGGCCGAUAUGGGUGGCAUUCCAGUACUGUCCCUACCGAUUCGGCUUCCGGAACGAGGUCCAAUAAGUUUGCAACUAAUGGGACCCAGUUUUUCGGAGCAGCAAUUAUUUCAAUCAGCACGUUGGAUAGAAAAAGAAGUUGAAGAUUUUUUAGAAAAGUAUGAUUUUAAUAUAAAUAUAAUAAACAAAUAAAGUUGAAUUUUAGUUGAAUUGUUUGGUUUGUUAAAUUUUGUUUUUCGGGUCCAUUUGUUAGGAAAUAUAAGUGCCCGGCGUUUUGAAAGCAAAAUCGAGCUUAAUUCGAAAAUAUAUUCUUAUCUGAACUUAUUUUA
Uranotaenia lowii is the source of this 791-nucleotide long non-coding RNA. RefSeq lists it as uncharacterized. The transcript has 2 exons. The record is from RefSeq and is a predicted model, not a curated record. NCBI's taxonomy places the organism in Eukaryota, Metazoa, Arthropoda, Insecta, Diptera, Culicidae.